UGGGGAAUAUUGGACAAUGGGCGCAAGCCUGAUCCAGCCAUGCCGCGUGAGUGAUGAAGGCCCUAGGGUUGUAAAGCUCUUUCACCGGUGAAGAUAAUGACGGUAACCGGAGAAGAAGCCCCGUCUAACUUCGUGCCAGCAGCCGCGGUAAUACGAAGGGGGCUAGCGUUGUUCGGAUUUACUGGGCGUAAAGCGCACGUAGGCGGACUUUUAAGUCAGGGGUGAAAUCCCGGGGCUCAACCCCGGAACUGCCUUUGAUACUGGAAGUCUUGAGUAUGGUAGAGGUGAGUGGAAUUCCGAGUGUAGAGGUGAAAUUCGUAGAUAUUCGGAGGAACACCAGUGGCGAAGGCGGCUCACUGGACCAUUACUGACGCUGAGGUGCGAAAGCGUGGGGAGCAAACAGG
Molecule: ribosomal RNA, 404 nt
Filed under: Actinomycetes bacterium
Lineage: Bacteria; Bacillati; Actinomycetota; Actinomycetes
Description: Actinobacteria bacterium partial 16S ribosomal RNA
Rfam family: Bacterial small subunit ribosomal RNA
Source: RNAcentral